This 492-nucleotide ribosomal RNA is filed under the name uncultured bacterium. RNAcentral describes it as "partial 16S ribosomal RNA". It matches the Rfam family "Bacterial small subunit ribosomal RNA", at positions 29 to 507 of the family's 1533-position model. The record is from RNAcentral.
AGUGAACGCUGGCGGUAGGCCUAACACAUGCAAGUCGAACGGCAGCACAGUAAGAGCUUGCUCUUACGGGUGGCGAGUGGCGGACGGGUGAGGAAUACACCGGAAUCUACUUUUUCGUGGGGGAUAACGUAGGGAAACUUACGCUAAUACCGCAUACGACCUACGGGUGAAAGCAGGGGAUCUUCGGACCUUGCGCGAUUGAAUGAGCCGAUGUCGGAUUAGCUAGUUGGCGGGGUAAAGGCCCACCAAGGCGACGAUCCGUAGCUGGUCUGAGAGGAUGAUCAGCCACACUGGAACUGAGACACGGUCCAGACUCCUACGGGAGGCAGCAGUGGGGAAUAUUGGACAAUGGGCGCAAGCCUGAUCCAGCCAUACCGCGUGGGUGAAGAAGGCCUUCGGGUUGUAAAGCCCUUUUGUUGGGAAAGAAACGCAGCAGGUUAAUACCCCGCUGUUCUGACGGUACCCAAAGAAUAAGCACCGGCUAACUUCGUG